CACGACUACAUUAGAUACCCGCGUAGUCCCAGCUGUAAACGAUGCAGACUAGGUGUUUGGACGGCCACGUGCCGUUCUAGUGCCGCAGGGAAGCUGUUAAGUCUGCCGCCUGGGGAGUACGAUCGCAAGAUUGAAACUUAAAGGAAUUGGCGGGGGAGCACCACAAGGGGUGAAGCUUGCGGUUUAAUUGGAGUCAACGCCGGAAAUCUCACCGGGAGCGACAGCAGUGUGAUAGCCAGAUUAAAGGUCUUGCUAGACGAGCUG
Molecule: ribosomal RNA, 264 nt
Filed under: uncultured archaeon
Lineage: Archaea
Description: partial 16S ribosomal RNA
Rfam family: Archaeal small subunit ribosomal RNA
Source: RNAcentral